This 253-nucleotide ribosomal RNA is filed under the name uncultured bacterium. RNAcentral describes it as "partial 16S ribosomal RNA". It matches the Rfam family "Bacterial small subunit ribosomal RNA", at positions 524 to 776 of the family's 1533-position model. The record is from RNAcentral.
UACGGGGGGGGCUAGCGUUGUUCGGAAUUACUGGGCGUAAAGGGCGCGUAGGCGGUCUGCUAAGUUGGAUGUGAAAACUCUGGGCUUAACCCGGAGCCUGCAUUCAAUACUGACAGGCUAGAGUUCUGGAGGGGAUAGCGGAAUUCCUGGUGUAGCGGUGAAAUGCGUAGAUAUCAGGAGGAACACCGGUGGCGAAGGCGGCUAUCUGGACAGAGUCUGACGCUGAGGCGCGAAAGCUAGGGGAGCAAACAGG